AGUGAACGCUGGCGGUAGGCCUAACACAUGCAAGUCGAGCGGCAGCACAGUAAGAGCUUGCUCUUACGGGUGGCGAGUCGCGGACGGGUGAGGAAUACAUCGGAAUCUACUUUUUCGUGGGGGAUAACGUAGGGAAACUUACGCUAAUACCGCAUACGACCUACGGGUGAAAGCAGGGGAUCUUCGGACCUUGCGCGAUUGAAUGAGCCGAUGUCGGAUUAGCUAGUUGGCGGGGUAAAGGCCCACCAAGGCGACGAUCCGUAGCUGGUCUGAGAGGAUGAUCAGCCACACUGGAACUGAGACACGGUCCAGACUCCUACGGGGGGCAGCAGUGGGGAAUAUUGGACAAUGGGCGCAAGCCUGAUCCAGCCAUACCGCGUGGGUGAAGAAGGCCUUCGGGUUGUAAAGCCCUUUUGUUGGGAAAGAAAAGCAGCAGGUUAAUACCCCGCUGUUCUGACGGUACCCAAAGAAUAAGCACCGGCUAACUUCGUG
RNAcentral lists this ribosomal RNA (492 nucleotides) under uncultured bacterium. Its description in RNAcentral is "partial 16S ribosomal RNA". It matches the Rfam family "Bacterial small subunit ribosomal RNA", at positions 29 to 507 of the family's 1533-position model. The record is from RNAcentral.